RNAcentral lists this ribosomal RNA (497 nucleotides) under uncultured bacterium. RNAcentral describes it as "partial 16S ribosomal RNA". It matches the Rfam family "Bacterial small subunit ribosomal RNA", at positions 28 to 507 of the family's 1533-position model. The record is from RNAcentral.
GAUGAACGCUGGCGGCGUGCCUAAUACAUGCAAGUCGAGCGAACAGACCAUUUUCUUUCUCCUCUCACGUUAGCGGCUUACGUGUGAUUAACACGUUUAUAACCUACCUAUAUUUCUUGUAUAACUUCGUGAUACCUUAUCUCAUACCGGAUAAUAUAUUUAACCUCUUUGUUCUUUAGUGAAUUACUGUUUUGCUGUCACUUAUAGAUUUUUCCGCGCCGCAUUAGCUAGUUUGUAAGGUAACGGCUUACCAAGGCGACGAUGCGUAGCCGACGUGAGAGGGUGAUCGGCCACACUGGAAGUGAGACACGGAAAAGAGUACUAAGGGAGGCAACAGAAGGGAAGAGUGGGAAAUGGGCGAAAGCCUGAGGGAGGAAGGCCGAGUGAGUGAUGAAGGACUUCGGAUCGGAAAACUCUGUUAGUAGGGAAGAACAAAUGUGUAAGUAAAAAUGCACGGAGUGACGGUAACUAAUAAGAAAGCAACGGCUAACUACGUG